UUCAGUUGCGGGAAUUUAGCCAAUUCAGAGGUCUUGUUCUCCAUAAUCUGGAACUUUCCUUCAGAUUUGAUCAAGUUGGAUAAAGUUGGUCAAACCCAAUGGGAAAAAGAUGAAAACAACAAGAAACAGAAACAAACAACAACAACAACAACAAAACAAGGGCAGCAGCCACCCACAAAUCAACAGCUGGACAAAGCCAGGGCUGUGCGGGAGCUAUGCACAGGUUCUGCCUCCAGAAGCCUUCAGUGCCAGCCUCUGAGCCAGAGGGUUCCAAGCAGAAGAGGUCCCACCCCUGGAGAAGAACCUCAGAGAGGUCCUCCAAGCCCCUCUCAGCUCUUACUUACGGCAUCCCAGAUGCCCUAUUCCUCUUCUGCAGACAGAAGGUGGGUCAGCCACUAAAUGGUGCUCGGACCUUGCAGCUUGGUGGGAAGGAGGAAGCUUAUUCAAGCAAGGAAGAUGACACAGGCAAAAACCGACGCAUAAGC
This 485-nucleotide non-coding RNA is filed under the name Pongo abelii (Sumatran orangutan). Lineage: Eukaryota; Metazoa; Chordata; Mammalia; Primates; Hominidae. The record is from RNAcentral.